GCUGGAUCGGAUCUCCAACUACUUCUUUGUUCUCCCCCCACCCCUUCCCUAACUGGAUCGGUGUUGGAAAAUAUGUCUCAAAAGCCAAUCGUCAGUCUGUUGACGGUUGAGCAAUUUUAUAUUGUAAUUAAUUUGUUAAUAUAUAAAAUAUAUUUUUGAUAUUUUCAUCAUAAGUUUUUAUCUUCUAAUGAACUCUGUUGUUGUGAUGAA
Molecule: long non-coding RNA, 210 nt
Filed under: Elaeis guineensis (African oil palm)
Lineage: Eukaryota; Viridiplantae; Streptophyta; Magnoliopsida; Arecales; Arecaceae
Description: long non-coding RNA (EGUI_LNC051494)
Source: RNAcentral